This 476-nucleotide ribosomal RNA is filed under the name Bacillus paralicheniformis. RNAcentral's name for it is "partial 23S ribosomal RNA". It matches the Rfam family "Bacterial large subunit ribosomal RNA", at positions 1 to 468 of the family's 2925-position model. Lineage: Bacteria; Bacillati; Bacillota; Bacilli; Caryophanales; Bacillaceae. The record is from RNAcentral.
CGGUUAAGUUAGAAAGGGCGCACGGUGGAUGCCUUGGUACUAGGAGCCGAUGAAGGACGGGACGAACACCGAUAUGCUUCGGGGAGCUGUAAGCAAGCUUUGAUCCGGAGAUUUCCGAAUGGGGAAACCCACUGCUCGUAAUGGAGCAGUAUCCAUAUCUGAAUUCAUAGGAUAUGAGAAGGCAGACCCGGGGAACUGAAACAUCUAAGUACCCGGAGGAAGAGAAAGCAAAUGCGAUUCCCUGAGUAGCGGCGAGCGAAACGGGAACAGCCCAAACCAAGAGGCUUGCCUCUUGGGGUUGUAGGACACUCUGUACGGAGUUACAAAGGAACGAGGUAGAUGAAGAGGUCUGGAAAGGCCCGCCAUAGGAGGUAACAGCCCUGUAGUCAAAACUUCGUUCUCUCCUGAGUGGAUCCUGAGUACGGCGGAACACGUGAAAUUCCGUCGGAAUCCGGGAGGACCAUCUCCCAAGGCUA